Long non-coding RNA from Rhineura floridana, 3933 nucleotides. RefSeq lists it as uncharacterized. Lineage: Eukaryota; Metazoa; Chordata; Lepidosauria; Squamata; Rhineuridae. The transcript has 3 exons. The record is from RefSeq and is a predicted model, not a curated record.
UCAGACAGCUACUACUGCUGUUGAAACUUCCAUAUGGUGGAAUGUUCUGGAGGCCACUGAUGAAACUGAAGAUAACCUCUGGUGCAAACUGCCAGUAUCUUGUCUAUGGAACCAGCAGAGGAAGACAUUGGUACCAGAGCACAAUGGACUCUGCGGUGUUCUUCUCCAAACUACAUGACUGCAGGCCAUAGCUGAGAUGGGGCAUCAGUCAUGGGUGGCCACAUUUCAAUAUGCUUUGCAAAUGGCAUGUCACGGCUUUUACUUGCCAUAGCAAGUGUACCAGCGCUACCAUCUGGCAAGCAUGAGAGCUAUUUGCUAUGGGCGGUUUAUAAAUGAAACAAAGAAGAAGAAGAAGGAGAAGAAGGAGAAGAAGAAGGAGAAGCAGAAGAAGAAGUCAGACUGGUCUGGUCUGACUUCUCUCAGCUCAGCAUAUGAAGAGGCAGAGAAGUGGUUGGCAUACGAAAUGUUGGAAAAUCUUCAGAGAGAACCAUUUAACCUAAUUUAACUUUUUGGAAGAAGGAGAGUGCUCAAGUCAUAUCACAUAAGCCAUAAAGUUUGUCUGCAGAAUAUGCAACGCGAAAGAACCCGGCUCAGUUGAUAACUAGAUGUUGUCACUGGUUUUCAGUACAAGAAAACCAGCAGAGUUGCCAGCAACAGGUAAUGCUCUUCGUUCUCACGUAGUGCAAGGACACAAGCAAGCCUUGAUCUGGAUAAAUGUUCACCGUGCUAUUCCAGACAGGGGCUCUCAGAACCCACAAAUACGAGUUACGGCGUGCAUGAGGGUGCUGGGGCAAUGAACAUACCAACAACCAGAACCCCUGCAUGGAUACCAUCCACCCCAGAAUACCUCACAGUAAAUGUACGAGGAACGUCAUAGGAAAUUAGUGUGCAAUUUCUUGCUAUAGUCAAGAAUGCAACAUUCAGCUGGGAACCAGCAUAAUCCACAUACAGCAGAGUGUGCCUGCCCAGCAGUUCCUGAGGUUUACCCUAAAAUGACCAUUUGCGCAUCUUCCAGGCUUUUUCCAGAACUGUGACUAGACUACGAUUAUAAGAUACACAAAAAAUGCAUAAAGCAGGGGUGGGCGUGGCCAAUGGGCAGGGAUGAUGGGAGUUGUAGUCCAUCAUCAUCAUGAGGGAAGGCCACCAGCUGCCCAGCCCUGCUGCAAAGAACGGAACAGGACAGACACAGACAAUAGUGUUAAAAAGGCCAAAACUCCAACUGUUGCAACUCAUCUUGAGAAUGCUUUUCCAGAAAGCGGGUCUCCACAUUUCCACAGUGAACACAUCAUCCCUCAAAGCGGUUAAGCUGCAGUUCUGACCUAUCGUUCAAGCAAGCCGUGAUGGGUAAAAAGCAGGGAGAGAAUAUCUAUGAAUAGACUUUUUUAAAGGGUUAAGGCAGCACGGGCAAUAUUGGGUACAAAAGCACAAACAACACAGACAGCACAAAAAAGACAAAGAUGACCACAAGCCACAUUGAGUAUUACAAGGAGCACUGCAUGGCAAGAAUGGAAGCUUUCUGCUCUACUGAAUGGAUGACACACACCCCUGGCCCCCGCCAUGCACUAACUGCAAAGCAAGUCAGGACGCUCUGCAAGUUGACAAAUGCAGCUACGCAGCAAAGACAUCCAAGACAAAAGUGACACCAAAACUAGACGGAUCUUACAAAAUGAGGCCUGUGAAGCCUCUUGCCUGUGAUAAUUGGUUCUGACUUUAAAAGCUUCCUGCUUCUACCUGCAGCAACUUCUGUGCUGAACAAUCACAACUGGACUUCAUGGUACCUGGAUAUUUAAACAGUUAAUAUUUUAUGUUCUCCAUCCACCCAACUAUACCUUACUUUAUAUCUCAGUCACCAAGACACCUAUAAGAAUAUGGCAAAACAAACUCCUUCCAAGUCUAAAUCCACCCUGACCUGAAUAGAGAAAUGGCUGGGCUGAUAUGGCAGCACCCACGUUCUCUGUUAAAAGGUUGGAAGACUUGGUCUGGGCCAGAGCAAGGAACGAGUGAGCACUCCAGGGAAACCAGCUCUUGGGGAUAAGCUCAGAAUGAACAGUAACUGCUACUUAAUUUCUAACUAUUCAGAAGAAAAAAACUCUGCAGAAGUCUGUGUUUUAAGGAUAUUUUAUCUCCUUAAUUUAAGAAUUCAAAGACACUGAAACAACUCUUGAACUGGCAGCUGGUUCUGCUCAUGCUUUCAUAUCUGGAAAGGGCAAGACAGCCUCAACUCCUAGACUUAAACGCUUAUUUAUCACAUUUGCUCUAGUUUUGUAAGAAAGCAAACUGAAGACCUCUCAUCAAAGAAAGUCCUUUCCUCUUAGAGUCAGGCAGUGAAGAUUUCUGAGUGUGCUAUUAAGUCAGCUAAGACCUGCCACUGAGAUAUUAGGUUUACAGAGCAACUGAGUGAUGCUGCCUCUAGUUAAGUCUUGAAGCAGCCCCCUGACAUUCAAUAACGCUUUGAUACUCCAAGCAGAGCAUCUUUCUAGGCCAGCAUCAGGUAUAAGAAUUGGAGGCACUGCAAUUACUGGGUGUUCCACGGGGCUCUCUCUCUCAUCUCCUAGCCUUUUAACACCUACGUGAAAACCAAGCACCAAAAAGAUUGUAAUGUGGACACCAGUUGAGCCUUUCUAGGGAGGGUGUUCCAAACAUGAGCACCUCUAUGCUUGACCUUCUUCCUUGCAUCUGCAUAAUCCACUUCACUAACUAAUGAUAUCUAAUGAAGAACUUCAUGCUUAAUGCAUGAAGAGCUUAAUACUGCACGGGCAGGCUGGUAUAAGAGAAGGCAUUCCUUCAGGAAUUGGGGUCCCAAGCAGUUUAGGGCUUUUAAAGGUCAGUACUAGUGCCUUGAAUUGGGCUUGGCAGUAAAUAGCCAGCCAAUGUGAUUCUUUCAGAACUGGCGUAACACGGCUCCACCUAACUAGUCCAGUCUGAAUUACUAGCAACUGGUGAAACAACUGGUAAAAGGUACACCGUGCCACUGAGGCCACCAUUGAUAAUGCUAGCUCAAGAAACACUUCUAAGCUACAUGCCUGCUAUUUCAGAAUGAGUGCAACCCCAUCCAAAAGACCAGACAGACCUGAUGAUCACCUCCCCACAGGGCCUCUCUCUUGUUGGGAUCCAGUACUCAGUUUAUUGGCCCUCAUCCAGGCCAUUACCAAAUCCAAACAAUGAUUCAGCAGGUUCAGACUUGCUGUUUGCAAAUGGUAACAGAUGGGAUAAAUAAAUUGAGCUCCAUACAGACAAUAUGGAGGUUUUGUGGAUUGGUUCUUUUUUAAAUUCAGUUCACAAAUACAAUCACAACACAAUUUAAAAGAGAAUACACCAUUAACUAAAAAUAGCAGCAUGAAAACAUGUCACUCCAGACUGGCAAUAAAAAAAAGACUAAAAGUAGCAGUGACAAUUAAAAAUUAAGGAGGACAAAAGGAUCUUUUAGUCAUCAAGACGUGUUAUACCUCGGAGGCAAUAAAUGCCUCUGAAUGCCAGUUGUUAGGAAUCCCAACCAGAGAGAGAGCUGUUGGCACUCAGGGUCCAGCUUGUGGGCCUUUCCCUUUGGGGCCUCUGCCUGCCACGGUGAGGACAGGAGGCUGGAUAAGGGGAGUAUUGGAUCCAGCAGGACCCUUCUAACAUUCUUUAGAAAGAAAGAUUAGAAAUAAAUACAAGACAGAUGUAUGAAGUUUUGGGUAGGGGAAGAAACCUAGAAUUGCUAUGGCCAUAUCCUGUAAACCCUGACUUAAGGGUGCAGUAAGCACCCCCAUCUUUCAGAGUUUUAUGAUAUGUGUAAAAUAACUGAUACAAGGGAAUAUAAACAGAUUGGGAGUUUUCCAACCAGUUGUCUGGGAUCACAAUAAAGGAGAACUUAAAACGGCAUGUCAAAAUCUGUGUGUCAAAGCUGUAUAUACCAUAUGAUUGUAUGGGUAAAGAAAAAAUAAAGCUGUAUUA